CCUUAUGAGUACCAAAAUUAAACACGAGUUAUUAUUUGAUAAGAUUUGUGUGGAGGAGAAUAUAGUAAGAAAAUGACAAAAAAAAAAUGUUUGUACAAAGUCGGUCAGCUGAAUGAAAGGAGUUGUACUAGAGUUUUUGGACGGGGCAACUUUAUGGGACACACAUUAACCCUUGGUAACUUCUCUCCAGAUUACAAAGGCUUACACAACUGGAGAGUACGUAGUGGAGGCGUGAACGGGGAAGUCGUCACAAUUGCCUGCUGCAGUGGUGAAUGAUGGCCCCAAAACCAGUGUCAAGCAGUCCAAGGGUUAGGUAAUCAGGGUUGUCACAUUCAGAUGCAAAGAUUAAAGCUUUUUUGCACCUCUAAGGACACAAGUACUUAGAAAAGGAUUUUUUUACAAAUGUAGUUACUGUAUUGAGUCAUUUGCAAUACAUGCACUUGAUAUUUUCGGAUCUGAUAUUUCCCUAAACGAUGAACCCUGUUCAAGCAAAACAAGUUUUGGAAAAUUACAAUUAAGUAACAAAAGAAACCCAUCAUGAAUGAGUAAAAUCUUACUUACUUCUACAAAUUGCCUGUGGGGCUUCAAAUUCUGAAAUUGAUAAGCUUCUCCUGAUCUCUUAACCUCUUUGCCAUCUUGCUAGACAUACGCAAAAAUAGAAAAUUUAUCAAAAAGCAGCUAAAUCACAACCAGAUUUUAAAAAAAAAAACAGGAUAAAAAUAUCGAAUUGAAGGAAAAAUAACUUAAAACUAUUUUUAGGUAUGAGAAAAACGUCGAAUUCAUCACAGUAGGGAAUGAGAAUGGAAAGACAAAGAGGAUACAUAUGAAGUGGUGGGCUACGUGUGUGUUAGUCAUGGGUAUAACCAAAUGGCUGAAAAGCCAAAUAUACCCUUAACUUCUAAUUUAUUGACGUUAAGCAGGCAUGUUGAAACUGUCUCUUCUAAUAUAUCUAAAAAUAAAA
This 961-nucleotide long non-coding RNA is filed under the name Solanum tuberosum (potato). RNAcentral describes it as "long non-coding RNA (STUB_LNC011176)". The record is from RNAcentral. Lineage: Eukaryota; Viridiplantae; Streptophyta; Magnoliopsida; Solanales; Solanaceae.